GACGAACGCUGGCGGCGUGCUUAACACAUGCGAGUCGAACGGAAAGGCCCUGCUUUUGUGGGGUGCUCGAGUGGCGAACGGGUGAGUAACACGUGAGUAACCUGCCCUUGACUUUGGGAUAACUUCAGGAAACUGGGGCUAAUACCGGAUAGGAGCUCCUGCUGCAUGGUGGGGGUUGGAAAGUUUCGGCGGUUGGGGAUGGACUCGCGGCUUAUCAGCUUGGUGGUGGGGUAGUGGCUUACCAAGGCUUUGACGGGUUGCCGGCCUGAGAGGGUGGCCGGCCACGUUGGGACGGGACUGCGGCACGGACUCCUCCGGGAGGCAGGGGUGGGGAAUGUUGCACAAUGGGCGGAAGCCUGAUGCAGCGACGCCGCGUGCGGGAUAACGGCAUUCGGGUUGUAAACCGCUUUCGCCUGUGACGAAGCGUGAGUGACGGUAAUGGGUGAAGAAGCACCGGCUAACUACGUG
RNAcentral lists this ribosomal RNA (468 nucleotides) under uncultured bacterium. Its description in RNAcentral is "partial 16S ribosomal RNA". It matches the Rfam family "Bacterial small subunit ribosomal RNA", at positions 28 to 507 of the family's 1533-position model. The record is from RNAcentral.